CCGACGAAUAAGAUCUUCAACCUCACGGUCUUCUGUGUCGCUGGAGUCAUUCCCACCAUAGUCCUCUGAUUCCGAAGGCUGGCUAUAGCUAUAAUCAAGUCCCAUCUUUAGUAUAAAAAUGAGAGUAAAGAGAGAAUCACAAAAAAUCUGAAAUAUAGACGACACAAGCACUCAUACUUAAAUAGAUUGAGAUUGUAACAGCUAUAUUAUUAUUGGACCAUAAUACAACGACUAUAUUGUAUUUAAAUGUCUUUCUAACGGCUAGAUUGGCUACAC
Molecule: long non-coding RNA, 276 nt
Filed under: Brassica napus (rape)
Lineage: Eukaryota; Viridiplantae; Streptophyta; Magnoliopsida; Brassicales; Brassicaceae
Description: long non-coding RNA (BNAP_LNC006622)
Source: RNAcentral